Molecule: ribosomal RNA, 253 nt
Filed under: uncultured bacterium
Lineage: Bacteria
Description: partial 16S ribosomal RNA
Rfam family: Bacterial small subunit ribosomal RNA
Source: RNAcentral
GACGUAGGGGGCAAGCGUUGUUCGGAAUUAUUGGGCGUAAAGCGCUCGUAGGCGGGACUGGAAGUCCGUGUUGAAAGACCUCGGCUCAACUGAGGGACCGGCUCGGAUACUCUAGUUCUUGAGGCAAUCAGAGGGUGAUGGAAUUCCCGGUGUAGCGGUGAAAUGCGUAGAUACCGGGAGGAACACCAGUGGCGAAGGCGAUCACCUGGGGUUGUUCUGACGCUGAGGAGCGAAAGCUAGGGGAGCAAACGGG